This 228-nucleotide unclassified non-coding RNA is filed under the name uncultured Hygrocybe. RNAcentral's name for it is "sequence contains ITS2". Lineage: Eukaryota; Fungi; Basidiomycota; Agaricomycetes; Agaricales; Hygrophoraceae. The record is from RNAcentral.
AAUCCUCAAAAGAGAAUCUUCACAGAUUUUCUCUUUUGGAAUUGGGGUGUGCUGGCCUUUUGUUCAGAAAGCUCAGCUCCCCUGAAAUACAUUAGCGAUGUGACGUCCGCAUGGCACCACGCCUCUCUGGCAUUGAUAGUCCUUUCAUGCUUGAGCGUGCUGUGCAGCUGUGGAAAGUUUCGCUCGCUCAUAACUGAUGGGGGGUUGCUCCCCCCAUCCUUAUGACCA